CUGACUCUUGAAUAAGUCCUUGAGGUUUUAAAAAGUUGAGGCGCAGUCUGUUAACGUCCUGGUGGCCAAGUAAUUGGAAGCCAGCUGCAAUACCUGAAGUUGGCCAUGGUCACAGAUUGACAGGUAUAUGGUAUACUGCCUGCCACAUUUUACCUCCUCAGUUCCCUCCCAGAGGAAACUGGAUCUGGCAUAAACAACAGCGCUCACCUAACACUGACACUGUGCCAAGUGUUUCACGGUUGUCUACUCCUUUGUCUUCAAAGCUGCUUGUAAGGGAGAUUGUUGGCUGGAGAGAGAGAUUGCUCCACCAAAGGACUCACAUUAGGUUGCCAGCACCCACGUCAGGUGCUUCACAACCAUCUGCAACACGUAGGAGAUCCAGUACCUCUGCGCUCUGGGCACUCACACAGAUGUGGCAUAUACAUGAUUUAAAAUAAAGUUUUUAAGAAAAAAA
RNAcentral lists this long non-coding RNA (454 nucleotides) under Rattus norvegicus (Norway rat). RNAcentral describes it as "long non-coding RNA NONRATT019236". Lineage: Eukaryota; Metazoa; Chordata; Mammalia; Rodentia; Muridae. The record is from RNAcentral.